Non-coding RNA from Trichonephila clavipes, 68 nucleotides. NCBI's taxonomy places the organism in Eukaryota, Metazoa, Arthropoda, Arachnida, Araneae, Nephilidae. The record is from the annotation of a GenBank genome assembly.
GUCGCCCAGCCAGUAUGGUCCCUCGGCUUGUAACCGAGUGGGUUCGGGUUCGAAUCCCGAGUAAGACA